CACUAUUCAUAAUCACAAGUCACAACACUAUUCAUAUUUCAUAGAAGCACUGUCUCUCAACACUAUUCAUAAUCACAAGUCAAUUUUUUUGGGACUUCAAUGAGCUUGGCUUAAGGCCUUGUUUAGUUCCCAAAAAGUGCAAAAAAAAAUUCAAGAUUCUCCGUCACAUCGAAUCUUACCGCGCAUGCAUAGAGCAUUAAAUAUAAAUAAAAAUAAAACUAAUUGCACAGUUUAUCUGUAAUUUGCGAGACGAAUCUUAUGAGCCUAGUUACUCUAUAAUUGGACAAUACUUGUCAAAUACAAACGAAAUGCUACAGUAACAUUUGCCAAAAAAUUUUCUGCAACUAAACAAGGCCUUAUUCGACGAGAGCCAAAGCCCCUAGAGACACUCCCAAACAAGCUCAUAUUUUGAGUGG
RNAcentral lists this long non-coding RNA (416 nucleotides) under Sorghum bicolor (sorghum). RNAcentral describes it as "long non-coding RNA (SBIC_LNC004210)". The record is from RNAcentral. Lineage: Eukaryota; Viridiplantae; Streptophyta; Magnoliopsida; Poales; Poaceae.